CUCCUCUCAGGGUCGCAUCUGGAGAGUUUCCAGUACUCUACCAGUUUUGGCUACGGGAGGGAGAGUCAAGCAGAGGCAUAUCCAUUCCAUUCUUAGCCGGGGCAGUGGCUAACAAAUGAAGGCAAUCUGCUACAAGU
Ornithorhynchus anatinus (platypus) is the source of this 137-nucleotide small nucleolar RNA. The record is from RefSeq and is a predicted model, not a curated record. Lineage: Eukaryota; Metazoa; Chordata; Mammalia; Monotremata; Ornithorhynchidae.